CAAAAAACCAGCGUCAGGAGGCGCUGGCUGUGACUACGACUAGAGCCGUCGGACAGGCCGUGCAGGUUUCGGCAGACGGUGACGCGCUGCGUCAAAGGAUCGGUGAUUGGCGGCUUGAAGCCUUGUACCCUGCAACCAAUGUCAGCGGAUUCUAACAGGGUUUUAUAGAUCGUCAACACUAUAAAACAUCGAAAUCAUAACAAAAAGUAA
This is a non-coding RNA of Burkholderia ubonensis, 210 nucleotides long. The record is from Rfam. NCBI's taxonomy places the organism in Bacteria, Pseudomonadati, Pseudomonadota, Betaproteobacteria, Burkholderiales, Burkholderiaceae.